GAUUGACCUCGGAUCAGGUA
RNAcentral lists this ribosomal RNA (20 nucleotides) under Xanthoria montana. RNAcentral describes it as "partial large subunit ribosomal RNA". Lineage: Eukaryota; Fungi; Ascomycota; Lecanoromycetes; Teloschistales; Teloschistaceae. The record is from RNAcentral.